CACGUAGGGCGCAAGCGUUGUCCGGAAUUAUUGGGCGUAAAGAGCUCGUAGGCGGUCUGUUGCGUCCGCUGUGAAAACUCGGGGCUUAACCCCGAGCCUGCAGUGGAUACGGGCAGACUAGAGGUAGGUAGGGGAGAAUGGAAUUCCCGGUGUAGCGGUGAAAUGCGCAGAUAUCAGGAGGAACACCGGUGGCGAAGGCGGCUUGCUGGGCCAGUUCUGACGCUGAGGAGCGAAAGCGUGGGGAGCGAACAGG
RNAcentral lists this ribosomal RNA (253 nucleotides) under uncultured bacterium. RNAcentral describes it as "partial 16S ribosomal RNA". It matches the Rfam family "Bacterial small subunit ribosomal RNA", at positions 524 to 776 of the family's 1533-position model. The record is from RNAcentral.